RNAcentral lists this unclassified non-coding RNA (773 nucleotides) under Ceratitis capitata (Mediterranean fruit fly). Its description in RNAcentral is "uncharacterized LOC110118144, transcript variant X3". The record is from RNAcentral. Lineage: Eukaryota; Metazoa; Arthropoda; Insecta; Diptera; Tephritidae.
AGUAAGAAUUUUUCCAUCACUAAAUUAGAGUCUCUCUUGCAGGAAAGCGCUCCCUUGCUCUCUCAAAUUUCGGUUGCUGGCUAAUUUUUAAGUGUAGACGAACGCCAUUUGACAACAAUUUUGAAUAAUUUGUAAUAGUUCGAAGGCGGCGUAAAAUAAGCUGUAGGUCCCAUCAAUUGUUGGAAAAAAAUCAAGACGCACACCACAAAUCCGAGGAGUAGCUCGGCCGCCAAUUGCAUUAACAGUUACAAAGUUCCAAACAUUUUUGCAUAUGAGUACCUAUGUGCAUACAUAAUUACAUGAGCAGAGGCUUUGCAGCAAUCAGCUCUAUAUUGUUGUCAACAAAAAAGUUAGAAUCAUUAUGCAAAUAGAUGCCGAGUGAAUAAGGCAUCAUCCAAUCCUUAGGGAUUAAUAUACUAUGUAUUGUGAAAAUAUCAAUGUUCAUACAUAUCGCAUCACGUCACCUGACAACAAUAUUGGUAUUCGAAGCAUGGGAGAAGCACCUUAGAACUUUAGCUGCAUCGGUGAAUGACAAUGGCAAUGAUAUGAUGCCAUCAUUUAUCAUUUCCCCGCCUUAAACAUCAUUAUACGGAGAGAAAAACCAUAUAAAAGUACGAAGUACGAAGUAAACGAGCAAUAUUUCAUUUUUAUGUACUUUUUUGUGUUUUUUUUUCAUUUUAUUUAAUUUAGAUAUUAUAUUUGGUAUUGUAAAAGAGAAGAUAGGUAAGCAAUGAUGAAUAGUCAUAACUAAGCUUCAAUCUUGUAGGCUUACU